AGGGUUCGAUUAUGGCUCAGGAUAAACGCCGGCGGCGUGCCUAAUACAUGCAAGUCGAUCGGAAGCGGAGCAAUCCGCUUUAGAGGCGAACGGGUGAGUAAGACAUAAGCAACCUGGCCACAAAGACGGGGAUAACACUUGGAAACGAGCGCUAAUACCGGAUAAGUAGCAGCGGGGCAUCCCGCUGAUAUAAAAGGGAGAGAAACGCGAGUGGAUGGGCUUAUGGUGCAUUAGUUAGUUGGCGGGAUAAGAGCCCACCAAGACGAUGAUGCAUAGCCGGACUGAGAGGUUGACCGGCCACAUUGGGACUGAGACACGGCCCAG
RNAcentral lists this ribosomal RNA (324 nucleotides) under uncultured bacterium. Its description in RNAcentral is "bacterial SSU rRNA". It matches the Rfam family "Bacterial small subunit ribosomal RNA", at positions 8 to 334 of the family's 1533-position model. The record is from RNAcentral.